Molecule: unclassified non-coding RNA, 345 nt
Filed under: soil metagenome
Description: partial contains 5.8S ribosomal RNA, internal transcribed spacer 2, and large subunit ribosomal RNA
Rfam family: 5.8S ribosomal RNA (bases 1-119)
Source: RNAcentral
GAUGAAGAACGUAGCGAAAUGCGAUACGUAAUGUGAAUUGCAAAUUCAGUGAAUCAUCGAGUCUUUGAACGCACAUUGCGCCCCCUGAUAUUCCGGGGGGCAUGCCUGUCCGAGCGUCAUUGCUGCCCUCAAGCACGGCUUGUGUGUUGGGCCCCGUCCUCCGAUCCCGGGGGACGGGCCCGAAAGGCAGCGGCGGCACCGCGUCCGGUCCUCGAGCGUAUGGGGCUUUGUCACCCGCUCUGUAGGCCCGGCCGGCGCUUGCCGAUCAACCCAAAUUUUUAUCCAGGUUGACCUCGGAUCAGGUAGGGAUACCCGCUGAACUUAAGCAUAUCAAUAAGCGGAGGA